GCAUGUCACACUGCUGGUCACGUGACUUAGCUGGGCGUGGCUAAUGGUGGCGUAAUUAAAUCGCUCUGCUUAAUUGAAGUGAUUCGUUUGUAACCGAGCAGCAGCCAAAAUAUCAGACUGUUUUCCUGUACAUAAACAUAAAGAUGGAGAAAAUGUGAAAAGAGAGGAGGAGUGAGAGAGAGAGAGAGAGAGAGAGAGAGAGAGAGAGAGAGAGAAAGAAAGAAAGAAAGAAAGAAAGAAAGAAAGAAAGAAAGAAAGAGGACAGCGUAAAGUUCUCAGGAUUAGUUCACUUGUAUUAUUUAUUUUUAUUUCUAUUUCUAACUUCCGGUCCUGGUGCUGCCUCGUCUCCGUCCUCCACACUGAACUGAACUCGAACAGGAUUUAAACGGCAGUAUUCGGUGAGAGAAAAGUGCGGAUGUUGAUCAGAUGAUAAAAAAAAAGAAGAAGAAAGCUGCAGUAAGUUGCUGAGUGAUGGUGAGUUCAGCGCCUGCACAGUCCUGACACUCAGUCCUGAGAUUAAUGUCCCAGGCCGCGUCCCAAACCACAGAGCACAGCGGUGUGUAUAAUAGGAUCCUGAAUGGGGUGUUAAAGGGUCGAGUGCUUUUGUCCUCCCUCCUCCUGAACACAAUAUAGCAGAACAGCCGCUCGAAUCUCGUCUCGGCGUCCUCCGUGCAGCUUCACCCUGUACGCUGGCGUGAGCGCUACACAAUUGUACCUUCAGCCCGCUUCAGCCAGUGUAUGUGAUGAAAUAGCAGACGUAUGUUGGUGUUUUCAGUGUGUGAAGUUUCAGUCUUUAGUUUAGCCCUUGAGCUUUAAAGGUAAAAUGGCUGCCGGUUAAUGGAAGCUUUUAUCCUCCAGUUUAUUUUGUGUGUGUGUGUAAAUAAAUCACAUGAUUGUAUUUUAUUUUUUUAAAAAUUGAUUAUAUUUAUACUUUAUACACAUAUUAAAUGUUUUAUUAUAUUUGAUAAGUGCAGUUUUGUGAGUCAUGUAUUUAGCUGGCUCACUGACAUCAGGACAUUGUGUAAACAUUAUUUUAAAAAA
Molecule: long non-coding RNA, 1041 nt
Organism: Ictalurus punctatus (channel catfish)
Lineage: Eukaryota; Metazoa; Chordata; Actinopteri; Siluriformes; Ictaluridae
Source: Ensembl